UACGGGGGGGGCAAGCGUUGUUCGGAAUUACUGGGCGUAAAGGGCUCGUAGGUGGCCAACUAAGUCAGACGUGAAAUCCCUCGGCUUAAUCGGGGAACUGCGUCUGAUACUGGAUGGCUUGAGAUUGGGAGAGGGAUGCGGAAUUCCAGGUGUAGCGGUGAAAUGCGUAGAUAUCUGGAGGAACACCGGUGGCGAAGGCGGCAUCCUGGACCAACACCGACACUGAGGAGCGAAAGCCAGGGGAGUAAACGGG
RNAcentral lists this ribosomal RNA (253 nucleotides) under uncultured bacterium. RNAcentral describes it as "partial 16S ribosomal RNA". It matches the Rfam family "Bacterial small subunit ribosomal RNA", at positions 524 to 776 of the family's 1533-position model. The record is from RNAcentral.